RNAcentral lists this ribosomal RNA (253 nucleotides) under uncultured bacterium. RNAcentral's name for it is "partial 16S ribosomal RNA". It matches the Rfam family "Bacterial small subunit ribosomal RNA", at positions 524 to 776 of the family's 1533-position model. The record is from RNAcentral.
UACGUAGGUGACAAGCGUUGUCCGGAUUUACUGGGCGUAAAGAGCGCGCAGGCGGUCGAUCAAGUCGAGUGUGAAAGCCCCCGGCUCAACUGGGGAGGGUCAUUCGAUACUGAUCGACUCGAAGGCAGGAGAGGGUAGUGGAAUUCCCGGUGUAGUGGUGAAAUGCGUAGAUAUCGGGAGGAACACCAGUGGCGAAGGCGACAUCCUGGACCGGUAUUGACGCUGAGGCGCGAAAGCCAGGGGAGCAAACGGG